RNAcentral lists this ribosomal RNA (687 nucleotides) under Triticum aestivum (bread wheat). RNAcentral's name for it is "partial small subunit ribosomal RNA". Lineage: Eukaryota; Viridiplantae; Streptophyta; Magnoliopsida; Poales; Poaceae. The record is from RNAcentral.
AUGCACGAGGGCUUCUUGGGAGUCUGCGCAAAGCACCAUGAAUACGCGAGGGAUUACAUCGUCAGUUUCAUGCUCGCCAAUAAGGACAAGGAGGCGAUUCUUGUGCCUUAUCAUCCCGUCGGCGGGCGCGCCGUCCUCAUCAUCCUCUACCCCCGAUUCUCCCACGCUCUUUACUUGGACUCGUCGAAGAACAUUCACAAAAAGGAUUACACCCACAUCAAGGGUGUUCUCGACAGUGCUAUGUUUUACUACCAAGCACGGGGUGGAGAGGUCAAGGACAAGAAGAGAAGGGGAGGCAGGCUCGCCUUCAGCCAUAAGACCGACUUCUGCUGCAUCCAGCAACCGAGUGAUUCUCUUAAUGAUGGAUUCUAUGUCCUACACCACAUGCUGGAGUACAGAUGGGAUCACCAGAACCUUCACAUGUCACCUAGAUCUGGCGAUGCCCAUAUUUUGCAAUGGGCAAAGGACAUAGGAGAUAUCGAGGAUCAUCGACUUCGAGCUGAGUUCUAUAACAUCCAACGCGAACUUGCCCAAAUCAUCAUGAAGGAGGUCGUCAGAAAAACAGGGAUGUUCUACGGAGAAGGACAAAUGUCGCGGGAAGACGUUCGAACAUGGGUAGCCCCUCAGCGCCUCGACAUGAAGCCUUUCACUAAGCUCGGGGACUAUCUCCCUGACAUGGAUGGAUGA